CCUGGGGGGAGUAGAGAAAAAGGACUGCUGAUAUAAACAGUGAAACCUGUUGAACCAGUACCUCAGGGAAAGUAAGAGAUGCUAUCAUCAAUGGUUCCACAGGAAAAAAAGAAAGGAUCUGAAGCUCAGGUUUUGGCAAAUAAAUAUAGACACAAAUACUCUUAAAAGAGAUUCUUGGAAAGGGUGCUUUGGCAAGAUCUGACAAGCUGUCUGCAAAGCCAAACACUGAAAACUAAACUUUCAAAGGAAAACAUUUCAAUGAAAGACAUGGGCUGGAAUUUAUAGCUGUGGAGAGAGCCAGCACAUGGGUGAAGCUGGGCCUUUCUGCCUCUGCAUACCUGUGAGCCUGC
Long non-coding RNA from Vidua macroura (Pin-tailed whydah), 350 nucleotides. RefSeq lists it as uncharacterized. The record is from RefSeq and is a predicted model, not a curated record. NCBI's taxonomy places the organism in Eukaryota, Metazoa, Chordata, Aves, Passeriformes, Viduidae. The transcript has 3 exons.